GGUAAUUUUCUGACAAGGUUAGUAGUAGCUGGAUCUGGAUUCCUUUCUGAUCCAGUUUCACUGUUUCCACCUGGGCUGAUCCUGGUGCCUCUCAGGAUCUUUGUGGAGGUUGAGAAACUACCACUAAGAAAUUAGUAUCUAAAACAACUACAGUGGAAUCCAAAUAUUCUGCAUUUUGAGGCCUUGCUUUGGGAAUCAAGACUCUGCCCUCAUGCAACCGUGGAUAGCUCUUGAAGCAUACUGGUUUUAUCACUAGAGAGCUGGAUUAUCCAGAGCCCGAAGAGACUCUAGGAUAAACACUUGAAACAGGAUCAGAACUAAAGAUUUCUUUGGUGUUGUCUCCAGAGGCGAACUUGCCAACAUAUUGGAACGUUAAGAUUGUCAAUAAUUCAAGAUAGGUGUAUCUUAUUUGUAGAAAAACCAUGGUUCCUGUGGUAGCACAUGGUUUUGUCCAAAUAUGGACCAGGAAGAAUGGGAUGCUUAAGCCGAAGAAAGCAACUGUUGAAGCAGCGGGAAAAAAGAAGAAAACUAGAUUGGUGGUCUAUUUCGGUAAUGGAGAAAGCACAACUUUUGAACUAAAUAAUAAUAUUAAAAGCGUGAUCAUGAGAUCCUAUGGAGAAAAAGUGAAUCACCUGCAUUUAACUUUCCAAGAUAAUAGCUUCUUGUUUAUGGAAAGAACAUCCUCUACAGAUGUCAAAAAAUUGAAGGCAUUCCUGGAUAGAGUGCAUCAAGAUGAUCUUCCACCACCCAUAAGACCUGAUGUGGAUAGCAGUGCCUUUGCCAGCACAACAGUACAGAAGACAGUUGAUGAGACUUCAUUUCAAAAAGUGGGUAAGAAGUCAGGUAGUCGGUCUUUUAAGAAAGAAAAAAAGCGUUCACCUUCAUCCGCAUCAGAAUCACCAACAUCUACCUAUGAACAGUUAUUAGAAGAUGGAUAUGGGAAGAGAAUGAAGAAGCCCUCAUUGGAUUCCCAAAAAGAGAGUAGCUCAGUGAGAAAGAGGAGAUCCAAGACACACCCAUUAAGAUAUGUAAGCCACAGUGAGAAGAAGGAACUGCAGUUAAAAGGGUUAAAACAGGAGACUAAAUUAGAUUUAGACUUUUUAUUUAAGAUCAGUCCUUACCUACAUGGCACUAAUCUUUUCCCAAAACUAUCUGAGAAUAUAUAUUUCACAUUUCUGCCAGAAGCAAAGUAUGAUAAGAAUGACCCGCUUUCGGACAGACUCAAACUGACUCUUGACUA
Cervus elaphus (red deer) is the source of this 1240-nucleotide long non-coding RNA. RefSeq lists it as uncharacterized. NCBI's taxonomy places the organism in Eukaryota, Metazoa, Chordata, Mammalia, Artiodactyla, Cervidae. The transcript has 4 exons. The record is from RefSeq and is a predicted model, not a curated record.